GUGCUCACUUCAGCAGCACAUGUACUACAACUGGAAUAAUACAGAGAAGAUUAGCAUGGUCUCUGCAACAGGAUGGCACACAAAUUCAUGAAGCAUCCCAUAUUUUU
Small nuclear RNA from Myotis lucifugus (little brown bat), 107 nucleotides. The record is from Ensembl. NCBI's taxonomy places the organism in Eukaryota, Metazoa, Chordata, Mammalia, Chiroptera, Vespertilionidae.